CAUUAUUUGUGGCAGCGG
Molecule: small nuclear RNA, 18 nt
Filed under: Arabidopsis thaliana (thale cress)
Lineage: Eukaryota; Viridiplantae; Streptophyta; Magnoliopsida; Brassicales; Brassicaceae
Description: snRNA_05826
Source: RNAcentral